This 3106-nucleotide ribosomal RNA is filed under the name Physocephala tibialis. RNAcentral describes it as "eukaryotic LSU rRNA". It matches the Rfam family "Eukaryotic large subunit ribosomal RNA", at positions 656 to 3329 of the family's 3401-position model. Lineage: Eukaryota; Metazoa; Arthropoda; Insecta; Diptera; Conopidae. The record is from RNAcentral.
GAAACACGGACCAAGGAGUCUAACAUAUGUGCAAGUCAUUGGGAUUUAUGUUAAUAAACCCAAAGGCAUAAUUAACUUAAAUGUUAAACAAAUGGGAUAAGUUUUUAAUCUAUUUAUAGAUUAAUAAUACAAUCCCGGGGCGUUCUAUACAGUUAUGUGUAAUAAUAUUUAUAUUAUUUAUACCUCUAACUGGAGCGUACCUUCAGCAUUUAUGCUGUGACCCGAAAGAUGGUGAUCUAUACUUGAUCAGGUUGAAGUCAGGGGAAACCCUGGUGGAAGACCGAAACAGUUCUGACGUGCAAAUCGAUUGUCAGAAUUGAGUAUAGCUGCGUAAGACUCAUCGAACCAUCUAGUAGCUGGUUCCUUCCGAAGUUUCUCUCAGGAUAGCUGGUGCAUUUAAAUAUUAUACAAAAUAAUCCUAUCUGGUAAAGCGAAUGAUUAGAGGCCUUAGGAUCGAAACGAUCUUAACCUAUUCUCAAACUUUAAAUGGGUAAGAACCUCACCUUUCUUGAUAUGAAGGUCGAGGUUAUGAUAUAUUGCGCCCAGUGGGCCACUUUUGGUAAGCAGAACUGGCGCUGUGGGAUGAACCAAACGUUAUGUUACGGUGCCCAAAUUAACAACUCAUGCAGAUACCAUGAAAGGCGUUAGUUGCUAAAAACAGCAUGACGGUGGACAUGGAAGUCGUAAUCCGCUAAGGAGUGUGUAACAACUCACAUGCCGAAGCAACUAGCCCUUAAAAUGGAUGGCGCUUAAGUUGUAUACCUAUACAUUACCGCUAAAGUAAAUGAUUUAUGUUCAAUUUCGGUUGAAUUAUAAAUUUUGAAACUUUAGUGAGUAGGAAGGUACAAUGGUGUGCUUAGAAGUGUUUGGCGUAAGCCUGCAUGGAGCCGCCAUUGGUACAGAUCUUGGUGGUAGUAGCAAAUAAUCGAAUGAGACCUUGGAGGACUGAAGUGGAGAAGGGUUUCGUGUGAACAGUGGUUGAUCACGAGUUAGUCGGUCCUAAGUUCAAGGCGAAAGCUGAAAAUUUUCAAGUUAUAAUGAAAAUUUAUAUAUAUUUAUAUAUAUAUUUAGGAUUUAAACACUUGAUUAUUUUUGAACGAAAGGGAAUACGGUUCCAAUUCCGUAACCUGUUGAGUAUCCGUUUGUUAUUAAAAAUGGGCUUCAUGCUCAUCCUGGCAACAGAAACAACCAUAAAGAAGCCGUCGAGAGGUAUCGGAAGAGUUUUCUUUUCUGUUUUAUAGUCGUACUACCAUGGAAGUCUUUCGAAGAGAGAUAUGGUAGAUGGACUAGAAGAGCAUGACAUUUACUGUUGUGUCGAUAUUUUCUCCUCGGACCUUGAAAAUUUAUGGUAGGGUCACGCAAACUUCUCAACAGGCCGUACCGAUAUCCGCAGCUGGUCUCCAAGGUGAAGAGUCUCUAGUCGAUAGAAUAAUGUAGGUAAGGGAAGUCGGCAAAUUAGAUCCGUAACUUCGGGAUAAGGAUUGGCUCUGAAGAUUGAGAUAGUCGGGCUUGAUUGGGAAGCAAUAACAUGGUUUAUGUACUCGUUCUGGAUAAAUAAAGAUCUUUGGAUCUUGUUCUCCGGAUAGUAGCUUACUUAACCAAUUGUGGAACUUUCUUGCUAAAAUUUUUAAGGAACUAUCGCAAGAUGGUCCUUUCAAAUUAUAACGAUUAUCAAUUAACAAUCAAUUCAGAACUGGCACGGACUUGGGGAAUCCGACUGUCUAAUUAAAACAAAGCAUUGUGAUGGCCCUAGCGGGUGUUGACACAAUGUGAUUUCUGCCCAGUGCUCUGAAUGUCAACGUGAAGAAAUUCAAGUAAGCGCGGGUCAACGGCGGGAGUAACUAUGACUCUCUUAAGGUAGCCAAAUGCCUCGUCAUCUAAUUAGUGACGCGCAUGAAUGGAUUAACGAGAUUCCCUCUGUCCCUAUCUACUAUCUAGCGAAACCACAGCCAAGGGAACGGGCUUGGAAUAAUUAGCGGGGAAAGAAGACCCUUUUGAGCUUGACUCUAGUUUGGCAGUGUAAGGAGACAUAAGAGGUGUAGCAUAAGUGGGAGAUUUAUGAAUUUAUUCAUAUAUCGCCAAUGAAAUACCACUACUCUUAUUGUUUCCUUACUUACUUGAUUAAAUGGAACAUGUAUCAUUUCCUAGCCAUUUUACGGAUAUAUUCAUAUAUCUUAUGGUAUUUGGUCUUGGUGCAAGUUUCUUGAUCAAAAUAUCAAGAGUUUGUUAUAUAAUUGCAAACAGAUUUUAAUGAAAUAUAUCAUCUUAUAGAUGUUAUUAUUAUAAUUGAGAUUUGGUAUAACUCCAGCACUCAGGUAUGAUCCAAUUCAAGGACAUUGCCAGGUGGGGAGUUUGACUGGGGCGGUACAUCUCUCAAAUAAUAACGGAGGUGUCCCAAGGCCAGCUCAGUGCGGACAGAAACCACACAUAGAGCAAAAGGGCAAAUGCUGACUUGAUCUCGGUGUUCAGUACACACAGAGACAGCCAAAGCUCGGCCUAUCGAUCCUUUUGGUUUAAAGAGUUUUUAACAAGAGGUGUCAGAAAAGUUACCAUAGGGAUAACUGGCUUGUGGCGGCCAAGCGUUCAUAGCGACGUCGCUUUUUGAUCCUUCGAUGUCGGCUCUUCCUAUCAUUGUGAAGCAAAAUUCACCAAGCGUUGGAUUGUUCACCCAUGCAAGGGAACGUGAGCUGGGUUUAGACCGUCGUGAGACAGGUUAGUUUUAUCCUACUAAUGACAAUUUUGUUGCGACAGCAUUCCUGCGUAGUACGAGAGGAACCGCAGGUACGGACCAAUGGCACAAUACUUGUUCGAGAGAACAGUGGUAUGACGCUACGUCCGUUGGAUUAUGCCUGAACGCCUCUAAGGUCGUAUCCGUGCUGGACUGCAAUGAUAAAAAUGGGGCAAUUGCAUUGUAUGGCUUCUAAAUCAUUUAAAGUUUAUAUUAAUUUAUAAACGGCAAUGAACAUAUGAUGCCAAUGUUAUUUGUAACAUAGCAAAUCCGGGAGGAUUAAUUAUCACCUGGAUGCCGCGCUAGUUGCAUAUUAAAACAUUAUUUAAUACAAUGACAAUGCCUAGAAUCAAUUGUAAACGACUUUUGUAACGGGCA